This 72-nucleotide transfer RNA is filed under the name Pangasianodon gigas (Mekong giant catfish). RNAcentral describes it as "tRNA-Glu". It matches the Rfam family "tRNA". From Rfam's summary of the family: Transfer RNA (tRNA) molecules are approximately 80 nucleotides in length. Their secondary structure includes four short double-helical elements and three loops (D, anti-codon, and T loops). Lineage: Eukaryota; Metazoa; Chordata; Actinopteri; Siluriformes; Pangasiidae. The record is from RNAcentral.
UCCCUGGAGGACUAGUGGUUAGGCCACAGCGCUCUCACCACUGCGGCUCGGGUUCGAUUCCCGGCCAGGGAA